Molecule: ribosomal RNA, 1653 nt
Filed under: Salmonella enterica
Lineage: Bacteria; Pseudomonadati; Pseudomonadota; Gammaproteobacteria; Enterobacterales; Enterobacteriaceae
Description: partial 23S ribosomal RNA
Rfam family: Bacterial large subunit ribosomal RNA
Source: RNAcentral
AAGAUGUAACGGGGCUAAACCAUGCACCGAAGCUGCGGCAGCGACGCUUAUGCGUUGUUGGGUAGGGGAGCGUUCUGUAAGCCUGCGAAGGUGGCCUGUGAGGGUUGCUGGAGGUAUCAGAAGUGCGAAUGCUGACAUAAGUAACGAUAAAGCGGGUGAAAAGCCCGCUCGCCGGAAGACCAAGGGUUCCUGUCCAACGUUAAUCGGGGCAGGGUGAGUCGACCCCUAAGGCGAGGCCGAAAGGCGUAGUCGAUGGGAAACGGGUUAAUAUUCCCGUACUUGGUGUUACUGCGAAGGGGGGACGGAGAAGGCUAUGUUGGCCGGGCGACGGUUGUCCCGGUUUAAGCGUGUAGGUGUGUGUUCCAGGUAAAUCCGGUUCACUUUAACACUGAGGCGUGACGACGAGGCACUACGGUGCUGAAGCAACAAAUGCCCUGCUUCCAGGAAAAGCCUCUAAGCAUCAGGUAACAUCAAAUCGUACCCCAAACCGACACAGGUGGUCAGGUAGAGAAUACCAAGGCGCUUGAGAGAACUCGGGUGAAGGAACUAGGCAAAAUGGUGCCGUAACUUCGGGAGAAGGCACGCUGACACGUAGGUGAAGUGAUUUACUCAUGGAGCUGAAGUCAGUCGAAGAUACCAGCUGGCUGCAACUGUUUAUUAAAAACACAGCACUGUGCAAACACGAAAGUGGACGUAUACGGUGUGACGCCUGCCCGGUGCCGGAAGGUUAAUUGAUGGGGUCAGCGCAAGCGAAGCUCCUGAUCGAAGCCCCGGUAAACGGCGGCCGUAACUAUAACGGUCCUAAGGUAGCGAAAUUCCUUGUCGGGUAAGUUCCGACCUGCACGAAUGGCGUAAUGAUGGCCAGGCUGUCUCCACCCGAGACUCAGUGAAAUUGAACUCGCUGUGAAGAUGCAGUGUACCCGCGGCAAGACGGAAAGACCCCGUGAACCUUUACUAUAGCUUGACACUGAACAUUGAGCCUUGAUGUGUAGGAUAGGUGGGAGGCUUUGAAGUGUGGACGCCAGUCUGCAUGGAGCCGACCUUGAAAUACCACCCUUUAAUGUUUGAUGUUCUAACGUGGACCCGUUACCCGGGUUGCGGACAGUGUCUGGUGGGUAGUUUGACUGGGGCGGUCUCCUCCUAAAGAGUAACGGAGGAGCACGAAGGUUGGCUAAUCCUGGUCGGACAUCAGGAGGUUAGUGCAAUGGCAUAAGCCAGCUUGACUGCGAGCGUGACGGCGCGAGCAGGUGCGAAAGCAGGUCAUAGUGAUCCGGUGGUUCUGAAUGGAAGGGCCAUCGCUCAACGGAUAAAAGGUACUCCGGGGAUAACAGGCUGAUACCGCCCAAGAGUUCAUAUCGACGGCGGUGUUUGGCACCUCGAUGUCGGCUCAUCACAUCCUGGGGCUGAAGUAGGUCCCAAGGGUAUGGCUGUUCGCCAUUUAAAGUGGUACGCGAGCUGGGUUUAGAACGUCGUGAGACAGUUCGGUCCCUAUCUGCCGUGGGCGCUGGAGAACUGAGGGGGGCUGCUCCUAGUACGAGAGGACCGGAGUGGACGCAUCACUGGUGUUCGGGUUGUCAUGCCAAUGGCACUGCCCGGUAGCUAAAUGCGGAAGAGAUAAGUGCUGAAAGCAUCUAAGCACGAAACUUGCCCCGA